Long non-coding RNA from Spea bombifrons (plains spadefoot toad), 499 nucleotides. RefSeq lists it as uncharacterized. The record is from RefSeq and is a predicted model, not a curated record. The transcript has 4 exons. Lineage: Eukaryota; Metazoa; Chordata; Amphibia; Anura; Pelobatidae.
CUGAGUUGUUCGCUCUUCGGCGACUCGGAUACGAAUGAGGCGCGCAGGCGCCACCUGGCGGUCACAAGGCGAUGGCCAACUCUUGCUGUGACACAGCGACACCCAGCGUUCAACAGUUUCUGGAACCAUCCUCGUGAGCGUGAGCAGCACGUCCACUGGUCCCUGCUGUACCAAUAAAGAUGCCCUCGGUACGUGUCCUUCAAGCCGCAAUCACCACCUCGGCGGAAGUGAAAAGGACCAAGACACUUAUUCCUAUAAAGACGUUUCAGACUGUGUCAAAAUUAUCAAAUGUUGCCCCGGAACAUACUCAGUGGCCGCCUUGCACUUCCCACAGAAGAAGCCAUUGAGCAGAUUUGUCUCGUGUCAUCGUUGACUGUGGGAGAUGAAUACAGAAGCCACCCAGUUAGAAGCCACCAGGGCACAGCACAAGACCUAAAUUGCACCCCUAUGACGACAACAACUCUGUAUUUUAUACAAUUAUAUGAUAAAUAACCUGGUA